This 210-nucleotide long non-coding RNA is filed under the name Elaeis guineensis (African oil palm). RNAcentral's name for it is "long non-coding RNA (EGUI_LNC035452)". The record is from RNAcentral. Lineage: Eukaryota; Viridiplantae; Streptophyta; Magnoliopsida; Arecales; Arecaceae.
AAAGUGCUCUACUUCUAUCAUAUAUCCAUUUGUAUAGUAAAAAUGCUUCUUGAUAUAUAAUAGCCUAAUGGUCCACCAAUGUUCAAAAGAUUUAAUAUCUAUUUUGCUACUUGUAAGCAAGAUUAUUUUGAUAGCUACAUGUCUAUAAUUGCCCUAGAUAUAGGGCUGAAAUCGGAUCGAAUACAGAUCGGAUAUCAUGAUCUCUAUAUC